This 71-nucleotide transfer RNA is filed under the name Ixodes scapularis (black-legged tick). It matches the Rfam family "tRNA". From Rfam's summary of the family: Transfer RNA (tRNA) molecules are approximately 80 nucleotides in length. Their secondary structure includes four short double-helical elements and three loops (D, anti-codon, and T loops). Further hydrogen bonds mediate the characteristic L-shaped molecular structure. tRNAs have two regions of fundamental functional importance: the anti-codon, which is responsible for specific mRNA codon recognition, and the 3' end, to which the tRNAs corresponding amino acid is attached (by aminoacyl-tRNA synthetases). tRNAs cope with the degeneracy of the genetic code in two manners: having more than one tRNA (with a specific anti-codon) for a particular amino acid; and 'wobble' base-pairing, i.e. permitting non-standard base-pairing at the 3rd anti-codon position. The record is from Rfam by way of RNAcentral. Lineage: Eukaryota; Metazoa; Arthropoda; Arachnida; Ixodida; Ixodidae.
GCCCGGCUAGCUCAGUUGGUAGAGCAUGAGGCUUAAUCUCAGUGUCGUGGGUUCGGACCCCACGUUGGGCG